GAUGAAGAACGUAGCGAAAUGCGAUAAGUAAUGUGAAUUGCAGAAUUCAGUGAAUCAUCGAAUCUUUGAACGCACAUUGCGCCCGCUAGUAUUCUGGCGGGCAUGCCUGUCCGAGCGUCAUUUCAACCCUCAAGCCCCCGGGCUUGGUGUUGGGGAUCGGCGAGCCUCCGCGCCCGACGUCCCCUAAAUCUAGUGGCGGUCUCGCUGUAGCUUCCUCUGCGUAGUAGCACACCUCGCACUGGGAAACAGCGCGGCCACGCCGUUAAACCCCCAACUUCUGAACGUUUGACCUCGGAUCAGGUAGGAAUACCCGCUGAACUUAAGCAUAUCAAUAAGCGGAGGA
RNAcentral lists this unclassified non-coding RNA (343 nucleotides) under soil metagenome. RNAcentral's name for it is "partial contains 5.8S ribosomal RNA, internal transcribed spacer 2, and large subunit ribosomal RNA". The stretch from base 1 to 120 matches the Rfam family "5.8S ribosomal RNA", at positions 35 to 154 of the family's 154-position model. The record is from RNAcentral.